CAACACAUCACACACAGGAAACAGUUGUGCUCAUGUGAUGGGGGCCUCAGCACUAGGAAGGAGUGGACUAUUGGCGCAUGUAGCAGCUUGAAUAAAUCUGAAAGUCACUACACUGCGUAAGAGAAGCCAAAUAAAAAAGUUCAUGCUGUGUACAGAGGGUGUUGAGAAUGCCUCCUACGUGACGGAAAGCAGAUCCGUGGUUCCCUGCAGACCGGCAGGAGCAGAUUCCAAAGGCACAGGAAGAAGCUUGCAGCUGACAGAAGCUCAUGACAGCCUGGUUUAGAUAAAAGGGGAAAGGACGACUGGAAGAAUCUUGGAGUUGGGAAUAUGGCACAUAAUUGAAGGAAGAGCAAUAAAACUAUAAUUCUUCCCGUGGAGACUGGAGUUUCCAGGAUGUGAAAAUUACCUCUGCUUGGGUGAGCUAUUCCAAGCAGCUGGGAUACCUGUGUCACUCCUGCUGUCUGCCAGUGACUGCCCAGGUGUCCGCUGGUUCCUCCCCAGGAGUAGGGAGGAACCAGGUGGGCUGGCUGGGAUGGGUGGAUAUUUAAAGACCAGGCCUUGGACGCUGCAGCACUUGUAUCUCUGCUUGAGGCCUGCUGCCAUGUGGCUGGUCCUCCUCCUCCUGCCGUGACUGAGCCCCGGGAUGAAGACAGGCAGCUGCUCCCAACCCCAGCAACUUUGCUAUCUUAGAACGGAUCACCAGUGAAAGAGGGGAAGUUGCUACUGUGAUGAAUUCUGCCAUGUGGUACCAGACUGCUGCCCAGACCACAGUGUCCUCUGCAACCCUGCUUCUCAGAUGACCAAGAUGGUGCUGCCGAUGGUGUUGAGGACGGAGAACCCACCAAGCCC
This 849-nucleotide long non-coding RNA is filed under the name Pongo abelii (Sumatran orangutan). RNAcentral's name for it is "lincRNA". The record is from RNAcentral. Lineage: Eukaryota; Metazoa; Chordata; Mammalia; Primates; Hominidae.